Long non-coding RNA from Sarcophilus harrisii (Tasmanian devil), 1118 nucleotides. RefSeq lists it as uncharacterized. Lineage: Eukaryota; Metazoa; Chordata; Mammalia; Dasyuromorphia; Dasyuridae. The record is from RefSeq and is a predicted model, not a curated record. The transcript is spliced from 4 exons.
UCAUAUAGUCCAUGCAGACAUGAUUUUUUUUUUUAGGGCUAUGCCACACAUUUGUAUUCAUCCUCCAACACCUAUCCUUGAUCUGAUCUUUUACAUGUCUUUUUUUAAUCUAAUUUGAUUGAUGAAUUCUCUGUACAUCCAAAGGAAAUCUUUUAGACAACUUUCUCUUCUUCAUUGUAACUGUUAUCUGUGUAUUCAGAAUUUCAUUUCUAAUAGUUUUCCAUAAUUCUUAUUCUUAGUACAUAAGGAUAACAGCAAUUCUUUCUCAGACAUUUUCCCACAAAACUGAAUAUGUAGGUUAAAUUUUCCCCAGUUUUCCCCUUUUUUAAUCACAAAAACUAAUAUAUAAUGUAUAUUUCCCCUCAAGAUUAUCAUCAUUUCCAAUGUAGCAAGAAGUUCUUCUUUGUUGGACACAAUCAUAUGUAGAACAGAAUUUCCUCUUGUUAGUAACUCCAACUGUUCAAGGAGGAAACUAUUAUUAAAGCAAGCUAAGAAAUUAGCAUCCACUCACUUUUUGGGAAGGUUAGAAAGUAGCAUUUAAGCUGAGUAUUGAAAAGAUUCUGGGAGGCAGAAGUGAAGAAGAACAUUCCAGGAAUGGAAAAAUGUGCAAGCAACAGAAAAAGCACUUGCAGGGAGAUAGAAGAAAGAUAGACUGGGAAAAGUCACCUGCAGAAAGUGAAAUUUGAGGAAUAUAAUAAGCAAAGAUGAGGAGAGAACAUUCCAAGGACAAGAAGCAACAUGAGAAAAGGUACUGGGAAGUCCACAAAGCUCCUUGAUCCAAUAUUCUAAGUUCAACUUCAAGCUAUCAUAGAACAUCUUGGGAUUACAUGUUUAGAGUUUAAAAAGGCUUCAGAGAUCAUUCAUUUAAUCCAACACCCUUGUUCCAUAAAUGAAGGAUAUGAAGUCCAGAAAGUUUGAAGGAAUUAACUAAAGUCACAAAGGUAGGUAAAAGAUGGCAAAAUUUGUUUUUGAACCCAUGUUUUUAACUCCAGAUUCAGCACUCAUUCUACUGAAUCAUACUAUCAUUAAUAUUUUAAGUAAAAAGAAAUUUUAAUAGAAACACUAUUUGACUAAAUUAUAAUUCCACUAAUCUCAGAUAAAGUAAAGACUCCAGAAAA